AAUGAACGCUGGCGGCGCGCCUAAUACAUGCAAGUCGAGCGAGAAGACGUAGCAAUACGUUUGUAAAGCGGCGAACGGGUGAGGAAUACAUGGGUAACCUACCCUCGAGUGGGGAAUAACUAGCCGAAAGGUUAGCUAAUACCGCGUACGCUCCUUGGACUUCGGUUCAGGGAGGAAAGCGAUACCGUGGGUAUCGCGCUCUUGGUUGGGCUCAUGUCCUAUCAGCUUGUUGGNGAGGUAACGGCUCACCAAGGCUUCGACGGGUAGCUGGUCUGAGAGGACGAUCAGCCACACUGGCACUGCGACACGGGCCAGACUCCUACGGGAGGCAGCAGUAAGGAAUAUUGCGCAAUGGGCAAAGCCUGACGCAGCGACGCCGCGUGGGGGAUGAAGGUCUUCGGAUUGUAAACCCCUUUCGGGAGGGAAGAUGGAACGAGCAAUCGUUCGGACGGUACCUCCAGAAGCAGCCACGGCUAACUUCGUGCCAGCCGCCGCGGU
Molecule: ribosomal RNA, 498 nt
Filed under: uncultured bacterium
Lineage: Bacteria
Description: bacterial SSU rRNA
Rfam family: Bacterial small subunit ribosomal RNA
Source: RNAcentral